AAGACUAUAGACCUGCGGAGUACCUGCGGAAGGAUCAUUAAUGAUUGGCCUCGUGGCCUUGUCAAUUAUUAAUCCCCCAACACCUCUGUGAACUGUUUUUCGGCCCUUGGGCUGAUCUUUUCACGACACGAACACCGUGCAAUGAACGUCUUUGUUAUCUUGACAAAAUAAAACUUUUAGCAACGGAUCUCU
RNAcentral lists this unclassified non-coding RNA (192 nucleotides) under soil metagenome. RNAcentral's name for it is "partial contains 5.8S ribosomal RNA, internal transcribed spacer 2, and large subunit ribosomal RNA". The record is from RNAcentral.